CCAUGUACUCCUAUACAUUGUAUGUGCAAGCAUGUUGCCAUGUACUCCUAUAUGUGCAUGCAUGCAGCCAUGUACACCUGUAUGUGCAUGCAUGUAGGAGUACAUGGCAACAUGCUUGCACAUAUAGGAGUAUAUAGCUACAU
RNAcentral lists this small RNA (143 nucleotides) under Mytilus galloprovincialis (Mediterranean mussel). The record is from RNAcentral. Lineage: Eukaryota; Metazoa; Mollusca; Bivalvia; Mytilida; Mytilidae.